This 568-nucleotide ribosomal RNA is filed under the name Fusarium solani. Its description in RNAcentral is "eukaryotic LSU rRNA". It matches the Rfam family "Eukaryotic large subunit ribosomal RNA", at positions 66 to 657 of the family's 3401-position model. The record is from RNAcentral. Lineage: Eukaryota; Fungi; Ascomycota; Sordariomycetes; Hypocreales; Nectriaceae.
CAACAGGGAUUGCCCCAGUAACGGCGAGUGAAGCGGCAACAGCUCAAAUUUGAAAUCUGGCUCUCGGGCCCGAGUUGUAAUUUGUAGAGGAUGCUUUUGGUGAGGUGCCUUCCGAGUUCCCUGGAACGGGACGCCAUAGAGGGUGAGAGCCCCGUCUGGUUGGACGCCGAACCUCUGUAAAGCUCCUUCGACGAGUCGAGUAGUUUGGGAAUGCUGCUCUAAAUGGGAGGUAUAUGUCUUCUAAAGCUAAAUACCGGCCAGAGACCGAUAGCGCACAAGUAGAGUGAUCGAAAGAUGAAAAGAACUUUGAAAAGAGAGUUAAACAGUACGUGAAAUUGUUGAAAGGGAAGCGCUUGUGACCAGACUUGGGCUUGGUUGAUCAUCCGGGGUUCUCCCCGGUGCACUCUUCCGGCCCAGGCCAGCAUCAGUUCGCCCUGGGGGACAAAGGCUUCGGGAACGUGGCUCUCUCCGGGGAGUGUUAUAGCCCGUUGCGUAAUACCCUGUGGCGGACUGAGGUUCGCGCAUUCGCAAGGAUGCUGGCGUAAUGGUCAUCAGUGACCCGUCUUGA